UGGGGAAUCUUGCACAAUGGGGGCAACCCUGAUGCAGCGACGCCGCGUGAGCGAUGAAGCCCUUCGGGGCGUAAAGCUCUUUCGACCGGAACGAUAAUGACGGUACCGGGAGAAGAAGCUGCGGCUAACUACGUGCCAGCAGCCGCGGUAAUACGUAGGCAGCAAGCGUUGUCCGGAUUUACUGGGUGUAAAGGGCGCGCAGGCGGGAUAAAAAGUCAGUGGUGAAAUCCUACAGCUUAACUGUAGAACUGCCUUUGAUACUUUUAUUCGUGAGGUCGGGAGAGAGAGACGGAAUUCCAGGUGUAGUGGUGAAAUACGUAGAUAUCUGGAAGAACACCAGUUGCGAAGGCGGCCUCUUGGUCCGACACUGACGCUGAGGCGCGAAAGCGUGGGGAGCAAACA
Molecule: ribosomal RNA, 402 nt
Filed under: uncultured bacterium
Lineage: Bacteria
Description: bacterial SSU rRNA
Rfam family: Bacterial small subunit ribosomal RNA
Source: RNAcentral